This is a non-coding RNA of Oncorhynchus mykiss (rainbow trout), 1826 nucleotides long. NCBI's taxonomy places the organism in Eukaryota, Metazoa, Chordata, Actinopteri, Salmoniformes, Salmonidae. The record is from RefSeq and is a predicted model, not a curated record.
GUGCGCGAGUUAAACUUAGUGACUAUGUGGCUGAAGAUGUCUGCUCCCGGUUUAGGGAAGCCACACAGGUACACAAUGAAGCAGUUAAAUCAAUUGAGAUUGUUCGAUGUCGUUAGUGUGGCCAGAAGCGUAUCUAUAUUUUUAAACUAAGAGGCACAAUCUCUAAGCCAAAGAGAUUCGCUGCUGAAAUGUCCAACCGAUGUGGAGAACAAGCCUCCAAGGACGUUCAUUCGCAGAUACGGACGAACCCCCGCUCGCUGGUUCUAGCUGUGAAGAGGGCGAACCGGAUGAGUCCGAGCCAUCCACUUCUACCGAUGAUGACAGCUCCCUGGGUGGACAAGAACAGGUGGUCGCACCAGGUUUAGCCACACCUCCAAACAAUGCUGGCAGAGACCCUACUAUCUGCGACCCGGACUCAGUUUCGUCGCGAUAUGAAUGGAUCUUUACGGGAUAUGUUAGUGCAGGCUGGGCCAUAUCAGGAUACGGUAGGGAAUUUCCCAAGAGAUGAGAUGCAACGAAAAUGUUCGGUGGCCAACUACAAAUGAGGAUGGCGAACGGGGAGAGAGUGGAGAGACCAUGGCUCGUUAAUUCCAAGCAAAAUGAUGCGGCCUUCUAUUUUUGCUGUUUUUCACGAGGGCAAAUCUGCGCUGGUCAUGGAUGGAACCAGGGACUGGGAAGAAUCUGUGCCACCUCCUCAGCUCGCAUGAGAAGUCGCAUGACCGCUUUGAUAGUAUCCAGAGGUGGAAGGAGCUGGAGAUCAGGCUGGUGUCCAAGCAAGCUAUCGAUGCCCAAGCCCAACGGGCUAUUGACAGAGAGACUCUCCAUUGGAAGACCAUGGACAGCUACCGAGAGAAAACAUCGCUGACUGCAAUGCAGCAUCACAGCAGAGGGAAGAGACCACUCUAGGCGGGCCACGAAUUGAAGAAAUGCUGAAAUGUAUGUUGGACAAUCAAAUUCGGUGGCUUUGCUGGGUCUCCAGUCCAACUGUAAGAUUGCUUCCCUCCUGCAAUAGUUUGUACAUGUCAUCAGUGGGGCUAUUGAGCGAGUCAUAUACCCUUACCUGCAAGCUGUCCUGGAUGACUACUCUGUCUCCAAUGCCCAGGUGAAAGCAGACAGACACAAGGUCUAUGGAGCAAUCCUGGUGGCAGUGGAGCACCUGCUAAAGAUUAGAGCCCUGUCUCUGUCCCUGCCAGCAGAGGGGGCACCCAGCCACACUUCAGGAGUGUGAUUUCCGCCGGGCUCAGCCUCUCUCCGAGGCCACCCUGGGCAUCGCCAGUCCCCUGCAGGGACCUGGGGGAGCUGGAACCCCCUGGAAUGACUGGACCACAUCCCCCUGCCCGUCAUGUACUGUGAGCAGGUGGUUAAGAGGGUUGGGCUAGUAACCAAAAGGUUGUUGGUUCGAAUCACCGAGCCGACAAGGUGAAAUUUUCUGUCUGUGCCUUUGAGCAAGACACUCAAGUCUAAUUGCACCUGUAAAGCACAGCUGUCGCUAUUUUAUAUUAUUUAUAAAUAUUUAAUUUAGUUGCAUAUAUUAUUAAGUUGCAAACAAUAACUGUACAAUUUACAAUGCACUUCUCUGUGCAAACAGGUAAUUACUUUCUAUCAUCUUACACAUUGUCCUUGGGAUUGGUGGACAGUCAAACUGAAAGGAAGCAACUUCUAUUGCUUAGGGAUGGAUCGACAUUUACAUAAUGGGUACCUGAUGGAAAAUGUUUUAAUAUUUCAGUCGAGGGGUUUCAUUUAAAAAAAAAUCUAGUCCAGGGGAGGGUCAUGUCAUUUAUGAAAUGUCAAUAUUUCUCAGUUGUUUAUUAGGCUAUAUAUACACA